RNAcentral lists this transfer RNA (58 nucleotides) under Dipodomys ordii (Ord's kangaroo rat). It matches the Rfam family "tRNA", at positions 8 to 63 of the family's 71-position model. Rfam says of the family: Transfer RNA (tRNA) molecules are approximately 80 nucleotides in length. Their secondary structure includes four short double-helical elements and three loops (D, anti-codon, and T loops). Lineage: Eukaryota; Metazoa; Chordata; Mammalia; Rodentia; Heteromyidae. The record is from Rfam by way of RNAcentral.
UGGCUCAGUGGUAGAGCGCUUGCCUUGAAUGCAUGAGGCCCUGGGUUCAAUUCCUCAG